Molecule: unclassified non-coding RNA, 281 nt
Filed under: Hevea brasiliensis (rubber tree)
Lineage: Eukaryota; Viridiplantae; Streptophyta; Magnoliopsida; Malpighiales; Euphorbiaceae
Source: RNAcentral
UGUUCGUGUAGCUUUCUCAGUUGUAAGUUGGAAGAAUUUUUUUCUUUCUUUUGUCGAAUAAAUUUCUAUGGGUUUUUUAGUUGCUUGAAUAAUAUGAAUAUUUUAGGCUUUUAAAACAGAACUUUGCUCUAAAAAAUAAUACUCGGCCCCAUGUAUGAAUGCUUUGCCUAUAUCAUGCAAUGCAAAACAUAUAGUCAUUUUCUAGCGAAACAAACAGGAAAAGAAAAUGCAUGAUAAAGGAAUCUCCCAGUGGUAAUGUGAUAUGCAGUUGCAGGUUUUUA